UACAGAGGGUGCGAGCGUUAAUCGGAAUUACUGGGCGUAAAGCGCGCGUAGGCGGCUUUGCAAGUCGGGUGUGAAAUCCCCAAGCUUAACUUGGGAACUGCAUCCGAUACUGGAUGGCUUGAAUCCGGGAGAGGGAUGCAGAAUUCCAGGUGUAGCGGUGAAAUGCGUAGAUAUCUGGAGGAAUACCGGUGGCGAAGGCGGCAUCCUGGACCGGCAUUGACGCUGAGGAGCGAAAGCUAGGGGAGCAAACGGG
This 253-nucleotide ribosomal RNA is filed under the name uncultured bacterium. Its description in RNAcentral is "partial 16S ribosomal RNA". It matches the Rfam family "Bacterial small subunit ribosomal RNA", at positions 524 to 776 of the family's 1533-position model. The record is from RNAcentral.